This 64-nucleotide transfer RNA is filed under the name Dilophotes sp. AT LB-2014. Its description in RNAcentral is "tRNA-Phe". The record is from RNAcentral. Lineage: Eukaryota; Metazoa; Arthropoda; Insecta; Coleoptera; Lycidae.
UAUUUUAAUAGCUUAUUUAGAGCAUGAUGUUGAAGAUAUCAGGGAGAUUUUGAUCUUAGAAUAU